UACGUAGGGUGCGAGCGUUGUCCGGAAUUAUUGGGCGUAAAGGGCUCGUAGGCGGUUUGUCGCGUCGGGAGUGAAAACUCAGGGCUUAACCCUGAGCCUGCUCCCGAUACGGGCAGACUAGAGGUAUGCAGGGGAGAACGGAAUUCCUGGUGUAGCGGUGAAAUGCGCAGAUAUCAGGAGGAACACCGGUGGCGAAGGCAAUUUACUAGGCUGAUUCAGACACUGAGAUGUGAAAGCGUGGGGAGCGAACGGG
Molecule: ribosomal RNA, 253 nt
Filed under: uncultured bacterium
Lineage: Bacteria
Description: partial 16S ribosomal RNA
Rfam family: Bacterial small subunit ribosomal RNA
Source: RNAcentral